GUAGCAUAAUCACUUGUCUUUUAAUUAAGGGCUGGUAUGAAUGGCGAGACGAGAAAUUAACUGUCUUAAUUUUAUUGCUCUAAGUUGACUUAUGAGUGCAAAGGCUCAUUUAUUCUCAUAGGACGAUCAGACCCUAUGGAGCUUUAAUUUUUUUAAAUUUUUAUACUAAAAAUAUUAUUAAUUAAAAGAUUUUUGUUGGGGCGACAAAGAGCUAGUUUAACACUCUUUUUUUUUAACAAUUAUUUAUGACUAAUAGAUCCUCUUAGCUAGAGCACAAGACUAAGUUACCCUAGGGAUAACAGCGUAAUUUUUUUUGAGAGUUCAUAUCGAUAAAAGAGUUUGCGACCUCGAUGUUGGAUCGAAGAAUCAAUAAGGGGUAGUUUUUUUAUUGGAGGGUCUGUUCGACCUUUUAAUCUUCACGUGAUCU
This is a ribosomal RNA of 427 nucleotides. It matches the Rfam family "Bacterial large subunit ribosomal RNA", at positions 1956 to 2606 of the family's 2925-position model.